Molecule: ribosomal RNA, 485 nt
Filed under: uncultured bacterium
Lineage: Bacteria
Description: partial 16S ribosomal RNA
Rfam family: Bacterial small subunit ribosomal RNA
Source: RNAcentral
AUUGAACGCUGGCGGCAGGCUUAACACAUGCAAGUCGAGCGGGGGAAGGUAGCUUGCUACCGGACCUAGCGGCGGACGGGUGAGUAAUGCUUAGGAAUCUGCCUAUUAGUGGGGGACAACAUCUCGAAAGGGAUGCUAAUACCGCAUACGUCCUACGGGAGAAAGCAGGGGAUCUUCGGACCUUGCGCUAAUAGAUGAGCCUAAGUCGGAUUAGCUAGUUGGUGGGGUAAAGGCCUACCAAGGCGACGAUCUGUAGCGGGUCUGAGAGGAUGAUCCGCCACACUGGGACUGAGACACGGCCCAGACUCCUACGGGAGGCAGCAGUGGGGAAUAUUGGACAAUGGGGGGAACCCUGAUCCAGCCAGGCCGCGUGUGUGAAGAAGGCCUUAUGGUUGUAAAGCACUUUAAGCGAGGAGGAGGCUACUUUAGUUAAUACCUAGAGAUAGUGGACGUUACUCGCAGAAUAAGCACCGGCUAACUCCGUG